GAACUGAUGGAUCAAUCUAAAAUUUGAAAAUAAGCGAAAACUAUGACAGAUUCUCAGGGUAUAUAGUAUAUGGAUGAAUUAUGUGCUCGACGAUCAUGGAGCUCCAGGUGCAGCACGGCGUGCUGAAACUUUCUAAUCUUUCUUCUUCCCUUUCGGAGGUGUUGGCUUUUGGUAUAUGAUAAUUUGACUCAAGAUGGUACCGUUCAUCAGUACACCGAUCACAGAUCCCAAGGCAACACUCAUGGGAGCUUUUUCCUGGAGGCUGGUAAAAACUCUAACCAUGGAACCGGCGAAGUUCAUGAAGAAGGUCAAAAAGCUCAGUUCACCAGUACUUUUGCCCUUAAAGUUCUUCCAUAUCUGCGGAAUCCUUGCACAAAGAAAGAUUGCAUGUUGGGAAGCAUAUAAGGCCUCGAAAAGAACAGGAUUAAUUUGACCUGCCAAAACAGUUGGGGCUACAGCACAAUAUAAUAAGCCUUUCAUCCAUGUCUUCAUUCCCAAAGGUUGAGAAAAAUAGUAGAUAAUUGCAACCAAAAUUAUAGCUUGGAUCAAAAGAAAAAGGUACUCGCCAAAAGCUGAAAACGGUAACCCUUUGUGAAGACAAUAUGACAAAGCAAUGGUGUAACCGAUUAGUUCGAGUUCGAAGGCCACAACACUAAGCCCUCUAACACUUUUGUGUUGCAAAAUUUUAAGUAUCUGAGGAAGUUUAACAGUGGUGGAGGCAGCAACAAUUGCAUAACCAAGAAGCUUUGAAAUUAAGGGAAGCAAACAAUCUUUUUCUGGGAAUUGACCAUUACUUAGAGAUCCAAGUGCACAACCAAAGUCCAUUCCAAGAAACUUUAAUUCCACCAUUUUUAUUUUUAUUUUUGAUCUAAUCAACAACUCUUCUGGUUUGUGCCCCAAUACAAAAAAUCAGAUAAUGAUUUGAAUUUUAUUUUUUUUGGACAAAUCUAUAUGGUAUUUCUGGGAUUUAAUCCUUAAAAGGUAACAAUUUUCAAGAAAAGAAAGAAUU
This 1009-nucleotide unclassified non-coding RNA is filed under the name Hevea brasiliensis (rubber tree). The record is from RNAcentral. Lineage: Eukaryota; Viridiplantae; Streptophyta; Magnoliopsida; Malpighiales; Euphorbiaceae.